This is a long non-coding RNA of Octopus sinensis (East Asian common octopus), 103 nucleotides long. RefSeq lists it as uncharacterized. NCBI's taxonomy places the organism in Eukaryota, Metazoa, Mollusca, Cephalopoda, Octopoda, Octopodidae. The transcript has 3 exons. The record is from RefSeq and is a predicted model, not a curated record.
GUCAAUUUGGCACAGAAAGUGAAAUGAAUUGAUACUGUAAUAUCUACUCUCCUCUUUGUAGUUUUACAAAUGGGGACGGCUGUUUUCCUAACAAUAUUUGAUA